CAUUCAGCAGGAUGGCCAGAUUUUCUACAUAAGAAGGAUAUCGGCCCAUCUAGAGUCACAGUGUUUUAGACAUAUAGUUGUUUGCCUAAUCAA
Saccostrea echinata is the source of this 93-nucleotide long non-coding RNA. RefSeq lists it as uncharacterized. Lineage: Eukaryota; Metazoa; Mollusca; Bivalvia; Ostreida; Ostreidae. The transcript has 2 exons. The record is from RefSeq and is a predicted model, not a curated record.